This is a long non-coding RNA of Equus caballus (horse), 3514 nucleotides long. The record is from Ensembl. NCBI's taxonomy places the organism in Eukaryota, Metazoa, Chordata, Mammalia, Perissodactyla, Equidae.
UAUUUUAUUUUACUUCUGGUUAUACAUAGAAAUACAGGAUUUGGUUUUAUUUCUGUUCAAAAAGCAAGCCUCUUCUCUGGGGUCUGUGUUUCAGGGAGGGCACCUGAAAGUUAGCAGUCAAAUCAUCACUUAGCAAGUAUUCAUUGACCAUGACCUCUUCUAACUAGGAGGAAUUGAGCCCUUCCAGCUUCAAACCCAAGGGGUCUGCUAAAGACAGCAAGCUGAGGGGAUUUUGAGAAGUGAGACAGGAAAGAAAACUGAGUGGGUUUGAAAAUACUUCAGAUAAAACAUUCGAGAAGAUGAUUUGAGAGCAUACCAUUUAUAUAUUAAAUUAUUAAACAUAGGACCUUUAUCCAUGUAACUAUUUGCAUUUUAUAAAAGCACUCUCCCAUACAUAACCUCAUUUGAUCCCCACAAAAGCCUCUAAGGCAGAAGAAACUGAUGAGAUCACCCCCAUUUACCACUCGGGAAAGUAAAGUGAAAUGGCCAAGCCUCAGUUAUCAAACUUACGAAAAUGGAGACUUACACUUGACUUGGGUCUCUUACUUGAGAACCAGGGCUUUUUCCACUUCACUGGGCAGUUUUGGGGCACAAGAUGUGGCACCAAACCUGUUCUUAAACAUUUACAAAAAAAUGCAUCAACCCCAGUUGCAAGGAAUUCCUUGGUAAGCAGUGUGUUGCAUCACAGCAAAUACAGUUUGGGAGCUGACAGAACAAAAUCAGCAUCUGAGGGAACUAGUUAGAAGAUACACGAGGUAGCCCCCCAAGGUUAAAACUACAGGAAACCUAAUAUAACUCCCUCAUGUUUAUGAGACAAGCAAGUGCCAAAGAAGUUAAGUUCCUGGUCCAAAGCCACAGAAAACCCCAAAACUCAGCCUGGGACAUGUCUCCUGACUCAGACCAGAGCUCCACCUCACAUAACCCACUGCCCCUUGCUCCAAAUUGUGCUAACUAUAUGCCACUUUCCCCAAGGACUGUGUCCCUGAAAUGUUUCCUUGUAAAUUUCUAUAAUUCAAAUACGACCUUUUCAUUGACUUCUUUGAUGAAAUGGCAAAUCAAUCCUGUUAGCAGAUAACUUGCUGAAUUCAAUAUGGUAGAAAUCAGCAGAUAAAUUAUGGCUAACAUCCAAAUAACGCAAAACUACUCACUAGGACAAGUCAGGAGCAUUACUUCCAUGUUGAUUUUUUUAUUAUUAGAAAAUAUGAAAGCUUCAUGGAAUAAGGAUAUUUUCCCCAUCAUAUUUUAAAAGAUUAACUCAUUAAACUAAUAUUUAUUAACAUGCCAGGCACUACUCAAGGCUCCAGAAACAUAAGAGUGAUCAAAGCAGUUUAAAAAAAAUCACUGCCCUCAUGCAAUCACUUGUGCUUACAUUCUAGCAGGAAUCACAUAUUUUAUUAUUUUUUUGUUUUCCUAAAUUAAUUCAAGUUAAGAAAUGCCUGCAAGGCACUGUGAAAAGUACAAAAUCCAUAGUCUCUGCCCUUUAAGAACAUAAAGUAUUUGCAGGAAAACAGACGUACAGACACUCAUAAAAAUAAUUAUGAAUAAAAGGUAUAUGAUCGAGUCACAAAAGUUAAGUCUCAAAAUAAAUCCUGAAAAUAAUUCAGAGGAAGAGAAAUCAGAGGGCAAGGUUUGGAAGCAAAAGGCUUGUCGAGGGAAGAGAGGGGAGUCCAGUGUGGAAAAGGCAUGGCCAGAGAACAUGAUCCAGAAAAAGUUGGCUUGUUUGGGGGACAGUGCAGAUGCUACCCACCUGGGCCACAGUGGUAAGAAUUGCCUGCAUUCCUCGAAAGCCUGACUGAGACGCUGUAGAUUCAAGCCUAUAAAAAUCAAAGCUACCAAGACUUUUAAGCAAGAGACUAACACACAAGUGGAGUCUUCUGGCAGAACACAGGGUAGGUUGUAGAAAACAAACUAGAGUCCACGUGUUCACUCAUCGACAGGUGCUGCACACACUGUGUGCUAAGUGCUUGUGAGGAACCAAUGUGAUGGCCACCUCCGCUAUGGAAACAGACUUGGGGCAAACAAACAUCACGCUUGGUGAUGAGAACCAUGAGUGAAUUAACAGGACGCACAGACAGAGCUUCACAGGGAGGCCCUGUCAGACAAGAAAACCUCUAAGGAGGCGGUGGUCUUGCUGGACCCAGAGGAAGGGCGAGACGGCCCAAGUCUCAGGGAGAGGAAGGAAAAGCGUCCAGAAUGAGAAAGCAGACUGUGAGGUCUGAGGCAGGGACAAGAGGUGAUCCCAGGCCCCAGGGCAGCACACCAUGCUGGAGACAAGGGUUGUGGAGAGGCGGAUCAGGGCAGAACUAAGAGGACAUUACAGAGCUUUAAUAAGGAAUGCCAGGACAGACUGCUUUUUGUUGUUUUAAUUCUAGCUGCUUUGUGGAGAGCAGAUUGGAGUCAGAAAAACCACCAAGAAAGGCAGUAGCUACACCCCAACUGAGAAAUGCUGAGAGCCCAGUAAUGGCUGUGAGAAUUGGGAAACAGCGGUUGAACUCCCCCCCCCUGCUCUUUCCUCGUUUCAGCCAGGCUCAGAGGGAAUAGGGGCCAGCGUUAUUGUCAAGUCAAACACACCUGACAGAUGCUGCUGCCUAGGCCAAGCCUCCCUAGAAAUGACUUAUCUGCGCCUCUGCUCUAUCGGCUCAGUGGUGUUGUAAUCGCAGAUGGCCAGCCUGACCAUGGAAGAAGAGAGAAGAGAGAAGAGAGCAAACUUGUCCUCCCCACAUCACCCCAUCCCUGUCCUGCUUGCUGCCCCUCCAGAGCAAACUUCCUCCCACACCUGCCACCAAGGCAGGAGUGCUCUGGCCCCUCCAGCCCUCCACAUUCUCAGGACUUUGCAACACCAAAGUUGUGGAUGGGAAAUUUUAAAGCACAAAGCGUCUGGAAGAGUCAACAGUCCAAUAUUUGUAUGACCUUCCCUCCACAUAAGCCUUGGCUGUGGCCUGCUGCACUUUCCAGCUAAUAAAGAGCCAGCUGCUGUGGAAAUGGCUUGUUCUAACUGUCUUGGGUUCUACCUGCCGCCCUGCCCAUCAACUGCUUCCAGUCAACUGCCACUAACUCAGAACUACCUCUGGGUCCCUGCCCUCCACACUGGAUCAGCCCUCAGCUCCACCAUUGUCUGUGCUUUGCUUCUCAGCCUCCUCUCUGCUCCACUCCAGAACCAGCCUGCUUUCUGAGAGUUUCUCAAUGAUGCCAAACGCUGAUGCUUGUGGCAGUCACAGAUUCUCAAGACUUUGGAUGACACACUUAAACACUGUGUCAAAAGCUCAGCAUCACACAAAACCUGCUUCUUAAAAAGAAUAUAGUGCUAUGGAGCAUUGUUCCAGCUAGGGUGACCAUCCAUAAGAUUUCUCUGAAGUCUAGUCCUGGGUCUGCUAUCCCCUUCUGCUUCAACACCAAGGCUGUGACAUCUGGACUCAAUGUCCAGCAAUCUGUCAUUUCAAAUUUUGCACAGUCAGAACUGGGGGCUGCUAUGUAGCCAAGCUCUGUCCUGGAUGUCCACACUUUCCCCUGCCAG